GAUGAACGCUGGCGGCGUGCCUAAUACAUGCAAGUCGAGCGAACAGACGAGGAGCUUGCUCCUCUGACGUUAGCGGCGGACGGGUGAGUAACCCGUGGAUAACCUACCUAUAAGACUGGGAUAACUUCGGGAAACCGGAGCUACUACCGGAUAAUAUAUUGAACCGCAUGGUUCAAUAGUGAAAGACGGUUUUGCUGUCACUUAUAGAUGGAUCCGCGCCGCAUUAGCUAGUUGGUAGGUAACGGCCUACCAAGGCAACGAUUCGUAGCCGUCCUGAGAGGGGGAUCGGCCCCACUGGAACUGAAACGCGGUCCAGACUCCUACGGGGGGCAGCAGUAGGGAAUCUUCCGCAAUGGGCCAAAGCCUGACGGAACAACGCCGGGUGAGUGAUGAAGGUCUUCGGAGCGUAAAACUCUGUUAUUAGGGAAGAACAAAUGUGUAAGUAACUAUGCACGUCUUGACGGUACCUAAUCAGAAAGCCACGGCUAACUACGUG
This 496-nucleotide ribosomal RNA is filed under the name uncultured bacterium. Its description in RNAcentral is "partial 16S ribosomal RNA". It matches the Rfam family "Bacterial small subunit ribosomal RNA", at positions 28 to 507 of the family's 1533-position model. The record is from RNAcentral.